Molecule: unclassified non-coding RNA, 252 nt
Filed under: Hevea brasiliensis (rubber tree)
Lineage: Eukaryota; Viridiplantae; Streptophyta; Magnoliopsida; Malpighiales; Euphorbiaceae
Source: RNAcentral
CUUCUUCUUCUUCUUCUUCUUCUUCUUUGCCCACACCAAUGGAAAAGAAGCAGGGCUUCUUUUCUGCUCUCAAAGAAGAAGUAGUCCGUGGUCUCUCCCCUUCCCGUUCGCGCUCCAAUAGCCCCGCCCGAACCGUUUCCCCAAUAUCGGGUCUGCUCAGGAGAAAGAAGAACUGCAGCAGCAACGACAGCCAUUGUAAUCCCUAUGCAGCGCAGCAGGAUUCUUUGGUCGUGAGAUCGGGGAGCUUGAGGC